GAGUUUGAUCAUGGCUCAGGACGAACGCUGGCGGCGUGCUUAACACAUGCAAGUCGAACGGUGAUGCGGAGCUUGCUCCGCGGAUCAGUGGCGAACGGGUGAGUAACACGUGAGUAACCUGCCCCUGACUCUGGGAUAAGCGUUGGAAACGACGUCUAAUACCGGAUACGACUCGUGACGGCAUCGUCUGCGGGUGGAAAGAUUUUUUGGUUGGGGAUGGACUCGCGGCCUAUCAGCUUGUUGGUGAGGUAAUGGCUCACCAAGGCGACGACGGGUAGCCGGCCUGAGAGGGUGACCGGCCACACUGGGACUGAGACACGGCCCAGACUCCUACGGGAGGCAGCAGUGGGGAAUAUUGCACAAUGGGCGAAAGCCUGAUGCAGCAACGCCGCGUGAGGGAUGACGGCCUUCGGGUUGUAAACCUCCUUUGGCAGGGAAGAAGCGGAAGCGACGGUACCUGCAGAAAAAGCACCGGCUAACUACGUGCCAGCAGCCGCGGUAAUACG
RNAcentral lists this ribosomal RNA (506 nucleotides) under uncultured eubacterium WR857. RNAcentral's name for it is "bacterial SSU rRNA". It matches the Rfam family "Bacterial small subunit ribosomal RNA", at positions 9 to 527 of the family's 1533-position model. The record is from RNAcentral.